AGUGAACGCUGGCGGUAGGCCUAACACAUGCAAGUCGAACGGCAGCACAGUAAGAGCUUGCUCUUACGGGUGGCGAGUGGCGGACGGGUGAGGAAUACAUCGGAAUCUACUUUUUCGUGGGGGAUAACGUAGGGAAACUUACGCUAAUACCGCAUACGACCUACGGGUGAAAGCAGGGGAUCUUCGGACCUUGCGCGAUUGAAUGAGCCGAUGUCGGAUUAGCUAGUUGGCGGGGUAAAGGCCCACCAAGGCGACGCUCCGUAGCUGGUCUGAGAGGAUGAUCAGCCACACUGGAACUGAGACACGGUCCAGACUCCUACGGGAGGCAGCAGUGGGGAAUAUUGGACAAUGGGCGCAAGCCUGAUCCAGCCAUACCGCGUGGGUGAAGAAGGCCUUCGGGUUGUAAAGCCCUUUGUUGGGAAAGAAAAGCAGCAGGUUAAUACCCCGCUGUUCUGACGGUACCCAAAGAAUAAGCACCGGCUAACUUCGUG
This 491-nucleotide ribosomal RNA is filed under the name uncultured bacterium. Its description in RNAcentral is "partial 16S ribosomal RNA". It matches the Rfam family "Bacterial small subunit ribosomal RNA", at positions 29 to 507 of the family's 1533-position model. The record is from RNAcentral.